UCCGGAAUUGGUUCGACAACAGAGUUUGAUCCUGGCUCAGAACGAACGCUGGCGGCAGGCUUAACACAUGCAAGUCGAACGGUCUCUUCGGAGGCAGUGGCAGACGGGUGAGUAACGCGUGGGAAUCUACCUUUUGCUACGGAACAACAGUUGGAAACGACUGCUAAUACCGUAUGUGCCCUUCGGGGGAAAGAUUUAUCGGCAAAGGAUGAGCCCGCGUUGGAUUAGCUAGUUGGUAGGGUAAAGGCCUACCAAGGCGACGAUCCAUAGCUGGUCUGAGAGGAUGAUCAGCCACACUGGGACUGAGACACGGCCCAGACUCCUACGGGAGGCAGCAGUGGGGAAUAUUGGACAAUGGGCGCAAGCCUGAUCCAGCCAUGCCGCGUGAGUGAUGAAGGCCCUAGGGUUGUAAAGCUCUUUCACCGGUGAAGAUAAUGACGGUAACCGGAGAAGAAGCCCCGGCUAACUUCGUGCCAGCAGCCGCGGUAAUACGAAGGGGGCUAGCGUUGUUCGGAUUUACUGGGCGUAAAGCGCACGUAGGCGGACUUUUAAGUCAGGGGUGAAAUCCCGGGGCUCAACCCCGGAACUGCCUUUGAUACUGGAAGUCUUGAGUAUGGUAGAGGUGAGUGGAAUUCCGAGUGUAGAGGUGAAAUUCGUAGAUAUUCGGAGGAACACCAGUGGCGAAGGCGGCUCACUGGACCAUUACUGACGCUGAGGUGCGAAAGCGUGGGGAGCAAACAGGGUUAGAUACCCUGGUAGUCCACGCCGUAAACGAUCAAUCUUGUCCGUUCGGGAUUCUACUCUUCGGAGCGCAGCUUACGCAUAAUCCACCAUUAGGCGCGCAGAACAAUCAGA
This 855-nucleotide ribosomal RNA is filed under the name Ochrobactrum sp. P46. Its description in RNAcentral is "bacterial SSU rRNA". It matches the Rfam family "Bacterial small subunit ribosomal RNA", at positions 9 to 873 of the family's 1533-position model. The record is from RNAcentral. Lineage: Bacteria; Pseudomonadati; Pseudomonadota; Alphaproteobacteria; Hyphomicrobiales; Brucellaceae.